AUCAACGGUUGAGGCGUGCCUCAGACAUGCAAGUCGAACGCGAAAGCCCCUUCGGGGAGCAAGUAGAGUGGCGCACGGGUGAGUAACACGUAGGUAAUCUACCUUCGGAUGGGGAAUAACAACCGGAAACGGUUGCUAAUACCGCAUAAUGCAGCGGCACCUAAUGGUGACAGUUGUUAAAGCGGGGGAUCGUAAGACCUCGCGUCUGAAGAGGAGCCUGCGGCAGAUUAGCUAGUUGGUAAGGUAACGGCCCACCAAGGCGACGACGGGUAGCCGGCCUGAGAGGGUGAACGGCCACACUGGGACUGAGACACGGCCCAGACUCCUACGGGAGGCAGCAGUAGGGAAUCUUGCGCAAUGGGCGAAAGCCUGACGCAGCGACGCCGCAUGCGGGACGAAGGCCCUCGGGUUGUAAACCGCUUUCAGCAGGGACGAAGCGAAAGUGACGGUACCUGCAGAAGAAGGUCCGGCCAACUACGUGCCAGCAGCCGCGGUAAUACGUAGGGACCGAGCGUUGUCCGGAUUCAUUGGGCGUAAAGAGCCCGUAGGCGGCCACUCAAGUCGAAUGUGAAACCUCGAGGCUUAACCUCGAGCCUGCAUUUGAUACUGGGCGGCUAGAGUCUGGUAGGGGGAUCUGGAAUUCCUGGUGUAGCGGUGGAAUGCGCAGAUAUCAGGAGGAACACCGGUGGCGAAGGCGGGAUCCUGGGCCAGUACUGACGCUGAGGAGCGAAAGCGUGGGGAGCAAACAGGAUUAGAUACCCUGGUAGUCCACGCCGUAAACGAUGGGCGCUAGGUGUGGGAGGUCAUCGACUCCUUCCGUGCCGCAGCUAACGCAUUAAGCGCCCCGCCUGGGGAGUACGGCCGCAAGGCUAAAACUCAAAGGAAUUGACGGGGGCCCGCACAAGCGGCGGAGCAUGUUGCUUAAUUCGACGCGACGCGAAGAACCUUACCAGGGCUUGACAUGUAGGGAAAAUCCGUGGAGACACGGUGUCCGCAAGGGCCCUACACAGGUGUUGCAUGGCUGUCGUCAGCUCGUGUCGUGAGGUGUUGGGUUAAGUCCCGCAACGAGCGCAACCCUUGUCCUAUGUUGCCAGCGGUUCAAGCCGGGGACUCAUAGGAGACUGCCGGGGUCAACUCGGAGGAAGGUGGGGACGACGUCAAGUCAUCAUGGCCCUUAUGUCCUGGGCUGCAAACAUGCUACAAUGGCCGGUACAGAGGGCUGCAAACCCGCGAGGGGGAGCCAAUCCCAAAAAGCCGGUCUCAGUUCGGAUCGGGGUCUGCAACUCGACCCCGUGAAGUCGGAGUCGCUAGUA
This 1313-nucleotide ribosomal RNA is filed under the name uncultured bacterium. RNAcentral describes it as "partial 16S ribosomal RNA". It matches the Rfam family "Bacterial small subunit ribosomal RNA", at positions 29 to 1340 of the family's 1533-position model. The record is from RNAcentral.